RNAcentral lists this long non-coding RNA (361 nucleotides) under Homo sapiens (human). RNAcentral describes it as "non-protein coding lnc-CLEC2D-8:15". The record is from RNAcentral. Lineage: Eukaryota; Metazoa; Chordata; Mammalia; Primates; Hominidae.
ACAGGGCUAAAGCCUGAACAGGUGGAGUGGCUAACCAAGGAGUUCUCCAUCUAUAUGACAAAGGACGGCCGCAUUUCUGUGGCAGGGGUCACCUCCGGCAACGUGGGCUACCUUGCCCAUGCCAUUCACCAGGUCACCAAGUAAUGUACCUGGUGCAAGGAAACAGAGACGACCUUUCUGUCUUCAGCCUCUGCUAUUGGGAGCUUCACACAGAGGAUGAGAGAGAGCGGAUGGUGGUGAGUGGAUCAUUUUCUUCAACCACGGUGUGUAACACUCAGCAAUUGAAUGUUUCUCAGAAAAGAACGUGUAGUGACACAGGGCAGAGGGAUCCGUGGCUGGCGUCUGGAACAUUGUGGCUCUA